RNAcentral lists this transfer RNA (73 nucleotides) under Ovis aries (sheep). It matches the Rfam family "tRNA". Rfam says of the family: Transfer RNA (tRNA) molecules are approximately 80 nucleotides in length. Their secondary structure includes four short double-helical elements and three loops (D, anti-codon, and T loops). The record is from Rfam by way of RNAcentral. Lineage: Eukaryota; Metazoa; Chordata; Mammalia; Artiodactyla; Bovidae.
UUCCUGGUGGUCCAGUAGUUGAGACUCUGUGCUUCCAAUGCAGAAGGUGUGGGUUUGAUCCCUGCUCAGGGAA